AGGGAAACCGAGUCUUAACUGGGCGUUAAGUUGCAGGGUAUAGACCCGAAACCCGGUGAUCUAGCCAUGGGCAGGUUGAAGGUUGGGUAACACUAACUGGAGGACCGAACCGACUAAUGUUGAAAAAUUAGCGGAUGACUUGUGGCUGGGGGUGAAAGGCCAAUCAAACCGGGAGAUAGCUGGUUCUCCCCGAAAGCUAUUUAGGUAGCGCCUCGUGAACUCAUCUUCGGGGGUAGAGCACUGUUUCGGCUAGGGGGUCAUCCCGACUUACCAACCCGAUGCAAACUGCGAAUACCGAAGAAUGUUAUCACGGGAGACACACGGCGGGUGCUAACGUCCGUCGUGAAGAGGGAAACAACCCAGACCGCCAGCUAAGGUCCCAAAGUCACAGUUAAGUGGGAAACGAUGUGGGAAGGCUCAGACAGCCAGGAUGUUGGCUUAGAAGCAGCCAUCAUUUAAAGAAAGCGUAAUAGCUCACUGGUCGAGUCGGCCUGCGCGGAAGAUGUAACGGGGCUAAACUGUGCACCGAAGCUGCGGCAGCGACGCUUAUGCGUUGUUGGGUAGGGGAGCGUUCUGUAAGCCUGCGAAGGUGUCCUGUGAGGGAUGCUGGAGGUAUCAGAAGUGCGAAUGCUGACAUAAGUAACGAUAAUGCGGGUGAAAAGCCCGCUCGCCGGAAGACCAAGGGUUCCUGUCCAACGUUAAUCGGGGCAGGGUGAGUCGACCCCUAAGGCGAGGCCGAAAGGCGUAGUCGAUGGGAAACGGGUUAAUAUUCCCGUACUUGGUGUUACUGCGAAGGGGGGACGGAGAAGGCUAUGUUGGCCGGGCGACGGUUGUCCCGGUUUAAGCGUGUAGGCUGGUUUUCCAGGCAAAUC
RNAcentral lists this ribosomal RNA (872 nucleotides) under Salmonella enterica subsp. enterica serovar Kentucky. RNAcentral describes it as "partial 23S ribosomal RNA". It matches the Rfam family "Bacterial large subunit ribosomal RNA", at positions 670 to 1542 of the family's 2925-position model. The record is from RNAcentral. Lineage: Bacteria; Pseudomonadati; Pseudomonadota; Gammaproteobacteria; Enterobacterales; Enterobacteriaceae.